CUAGCAUAUCAAUAAGCGGAGGAAAAGAAACCAACAGGGAUUGCUCUAGUAACGGCGAGUGAAGCAGCAAUAGCUCAAAUUUGAAAUCUGGCGUCUUCGGCGUCCGAGUUGUAAUUUGUAGAGGAUGCUUCUGAGUAACCACCGACCUAAGUUCCUUGGAACAGGACGUCAUAGAGGGUGAGAAUCCCGUAUGCGGUCGGAAAGGUGCUCUAUACGUAGCUCCUUCGACGAGUCGAGUUGUUUGGGAAUGCAGCUCUAAAUGGGAGGUAAAUUUCUUCUAAAGCUAAAUAUUGGCCAGAGACCGAUAGCGCACAAGUAGAGUGAUCGAAAGAUGAAAAGCACUUUGGAAAGAGAGUUAAAAAGCACGUGAAAUUGUUAAAAGGGAAGGGAUUGCAACCAGACUUGCUCGCGGUGUUCCGCCGGUCUUCUGACCGGUCUACUCGCCGCGUUGCAGGCCAGCAUCGUCUGGUGCCGCUGGAUAAGACUUGAGGAAUGUAGCUCCCUCGGGAGUGUUAUAGCCUCUUGUGAUGCAGCGAGCGCCGGGCGAGGUCCGCGCUUCGGCUAGGAUGCUGGCGUAAUGGUCGUAAUCCGCCCGUCUUGAAACACGGACCAAGGAGUCUAACAUCUAUGCGAGUGUUCGGGUGUCAAACCCCUACGCGUAAUGAAAGUGAACGGAGGUGAGAACCGCAAGGUGCAUCAUCGACCGAUCCUGAUGUCUUCGGAUGGAUUUGAGUAAGAGCAUAGCUGUUGGGACCCGAAAGAUGGUGAACUAUGCCUGAAUAGGGUGAAGCCAGAGGAAACUCUGGUGGAGGCUCGCAGCGGUUCCUGACGUGCAAACCCAUCGUCAAAUUUGGGUAUAGGGGCGAAAGACUAAUCGAACCAUCUAGUAGCUGGUUCCUGCGA
Molecule: ribosomal RNA, 903 nt
Filed under: Cladosporium oxysporum
Lineage: Eukaryota; Fungi; Ascomycota; Dothideomycetes; Cladosporiales; Cladosporiaceae
Description: LSU rRNA
Rfam family: Eukaryotic large subunit ribosomal RNA
Source: RNAcentral